GAUGAACGCUGGCGGCGUGCUUAACACAUGCAAGUCGAACGAUGAAGCUCAGCUUGCUGGGUGGAUUAGUGGCGAACGGGUGAGUAACACGUGAGUAACCUGCCCUUAACUCUGGGAUAAGCCUGGGAAACUAGGUCUAAUACCGGAUAGGAGCGCCUACCGCAUGGUGGGUGCUGGAAAGAUUUAUCGGUUUUGGAUGGACUCGCGGCCUAUCAGCUUGUUGGUGAGGUAAUGGCUCACCAAGGCGACGACGGGUAGCCGGCCUGAGAGGGUGACCGGCCACACUGGGACCGAGACACGGCCCAGACUCCUACGGGAGGCAGCAGUGGGGAAUAUUGCACAAUGGGCGAAAGCCUGAUGCAGCGACGCCGCGUGAGGGAUGACGGCCUUCGGGUUGUAAACCUCUUUCAGUAGGGAAGAAGCGAAGGUGACGGUACCUGCAGAAGAAGCACCGGCUAACUACGUG
RNAcentral lists this ribosomal RNA (466 nucleotides) under uncultured bacterium. RNAcentral describes it as "partial 16S ribosomal RNA". It matches the Rfam family "Bacterial small subunit ribosomal RNA", at positions 28 to 507 of the family's 1533-position model. The record is from RNAcentral.